Molecule: ribosomal RNA, 314 nt
Filed under: uncultured eukaryote
Lineage: Eukaryota
Description: partial 18S ribosomal RNA
Rfam family: Eukaryotic small subunit ribosomal RNA
Source: RNAcentral
CCCUUAGAUGUUCUGGGCCGCACGCGCGCUACACUGACGAAUGCAACGAGCUUAUAACCUUGGCCGAAAGGUCUGGGUAAUCUCCAAAUUUCGUCGUGAUGGGGAUAGACUUUUGCAAUUUUUGGUCUUCAACGAGGAAUUCCUAGUAAACGCAAGUCAUCAACUUGCAUUGAUUACGUCCCUGCCCUUUGUACACACCGCCCGUCGCACCUACCGAUUGAAUGGUCCGGUGAAGCCUCCGGAUUGGCGCGCACCUCGGUGCCGCCGAGAAGUUGGCUAAACCUUACCAUUUAGAGGAAGGUGAANUCGUAACA